GCCCUCGUAGCUCAGUGGACAGAGUGCCUGCGUCCGAAGCAGGUGGUCGCCGGUUCGACUCCGGCCGGGGGUG
Molecule: transfer RNA, 73 nt
Filed under: Actinomadura sp. DC4
Lineage: Bacteria; Bacillati; Actinomycetota; Actinomycetes; Streptosporangiales; Thermomonosporaceae
Description: tRNA-Arg
Rfam family: tRNA
About the family: Transfer RNA (tRNA) molecules are approximately 80 nucleotides in length.
Source: RNAcentral